AAAGUACUCCCUCCGUCCCAAAAUUCUUGUCUUAGAUUUAUCUAGAUACGGAUGUGUCAAGUACCAUUUUAGUAUUAGAUACAUCAUCUAGACAAAUCUAAGACAAGAAAUUUGGGAGAGAGGGAGUAGUUG
Molecule: non-coding RNA, 132 nt
Organism: Triticum urartu
Lineage: Eukaryota; Viridiplantae; Streptophyta; Magnoliopsida; Poales; Poaceae
Source: Rfam